RNAcentral lists this unclassified non-coding RNA (337 nucleotides) under soil metagenome. RNAcentral describes it as "partial contains 5.8S ribosomal RNA, internal transcribed spacer 2, and large subunit ribosomal RNA". The stretch from base 1 to 120 matches the Rfam family "5.8S ribosomal RNA", at positions 35 to 154 of the family's 154-position model. The record is from RNAcentral.
GAUGAAGAACGCAGCGAAAUGCGAUAAGUAGUGUGAAUUGCAGAUUUCAGUGAAUCAUCGAAUCUUUGAACGCACAUUGCGCCCUUUGGUAUUCCGAAGGGCAUGCCUGUCUGAGCGUCAAUAAAUCAAUCAAACUUUAGUUUGGUAUUGGGAGAAGUGGUUAUGCCUCUCUCCUUUAAGCUAUUGGCGACACUAUUUCAGCUUGUAAGACGUAGUAAGCAAUUUCUCGUUAAAGCAACUGUAUAGGCGUCUGCCAACUGAACGAUUUAUUUUUUAAGCUUGACCUCAGAUCAGGUAGGGAUACCCCCUGAACUUAAGCAUAUCAAUAAGCGGAGGA